Molecule: ribosomal RNA, 405 nt
Filed under: uncultured bacterium
Lineage: Bacteria
Description: partial 16S ribosomal RNA
Rfam family: Bacterial small subunit ribosomal RNA
Source: RNAcentral
AUUGAACGCUAGCGGGAUGCUUUACACAUGCAAGUCGAACGAGUGGCGGACGGGUGAGUAAUAUAUCGGAACGUGCCCAGUAGAGGGGGAUAACUACUCGAAAGAGUGGCUAAUACCGCCUACUAUUGGAUGGGCACAUAUUGGAUUAGCUUGUUGGUGGGGUAAAGGCUCACCAAGGCAACGAUCCGUAGCUGGUCUGAGAGGAUGACCAGCCCCACUGGGACGGGGACACGGCCCAGACUCCUACGGUAGGCAGCAGUGGGGAAUUUUGGACAAUGGGGGAAACCCUGAUCCAGCCAUGCCGCGUGUAUGAGAAGGCCUUCGGGUUGUAAAGUACUUUUGGCAGGGAAGCGGUAUCUGCAGAAGAAGCACCGGCUAACUACGUGCCAGCAGCCGCGGUAAUAC